GGGAAUACGCUCUGGAAACGGAGAACAAAUCCCGAUGUACAGGAAGGAGGCAUCUUCUUUCUGUGAAACAUCCUUUAGGGGAUGGGGCGCGGAUGGACCUGCGGUGCAUUAGUUGGUUGGCGGGGUAAAGGCCCACCAAGACGAUGAUGCAUAGCCGGCCUGAGAGGGCGGACGGCCACAUUGGGACUGAGACACGGCCCAGACUCCUGCGGGAGGCAGCAGUAGGGAAUUUUCGUCAAUGGGCGCAAGCUUGAACGAGCGAUGCCGCGUGAGUGAAGAAGGCCUUCGGGUCGUAAAGCUCUGUUGCGGGGGAAAAAAGGCAGCAUCAGGAAAUGGGUGUGACUGAUGGUGCCCCGCCAGAAAGUCACGGCUAACUACGUGCCAGCAGCCGCGGUAAUACGUAGGUGGCGAGCGUUAUCCGGAAUGAUUGGGCGUAAAGGGUGCGCAGGCGGUCCUGCAAGUCUGGAGUGAAACGCAUGAGCUCAACUCAUGCAUGGCUUUGGAAACUGGAGGACUGGAGAGCAGGAGAGGGCGGUGGAACUCCAUGUGUAGCGGUAAAAUGCGUAGAUAUAUGGAAGAACACCAGUGGCGAAGGCGGCCGCCUGGCCUGUUGCUGACGCUGAGGCACGAAAGCGUGGGGAGCAAAUAGGAUUAGAUACCCUAGUAGUCCACGCCGUAAACGAUGAG
RNAcentral lists this ribosomal RNA (687 nucleotides) under uncultured bacterium. Its description in RNAcentral is "bacterial SSU rRNA". It matches the Rfam family "Bacterial small subunit ribosomal RNA", at positions 139 to 813 of the family's 1533-position model. The record is from RNAcentral.